RNAcentral lists this small RNA (850 nucleotides) under Pongo abelii (Sumatran orangutan). RNAcentral's name for it is "retained intron". Lineage: Eukaryota; Metazoa; Chordata; Mammalia; Primates; Hominidae. The record is from RNAcentral.
CUCUGCGGCGCGGUCCUCGGAGACACGCGGAGGUGUACUGUGUUGGCCAUGGCCGACUACCUGAUUAGUGGGGGCACGUCCUACGUGCCAGACGACGGACUCACAGCACAGCAGCUCUUCAACUGCGGAGAUGGCCUCACCUACAAUGACUUUCUCAUUCUCCCUGGGUACAUCGACUUCACUGCAGACCAGGUGGUGAGUAUGAUCAGGAAUUGGGUCCUGAAUCAAGGUGAGCUAAGGUGCUACUGUCACCUGGUCUCUGGGCUAACUCACCAGAUUGGGCUUGGGGGUGGAUUUUAUGGGAUCAUGUUACUUGUUAGCAUGCAAGUCAUACAAAAGUGCCUUUUUGUGGGGGACUCAGUAACACCUUGAGGUGUAAGAGAUGCUUUCCCACACUGGUUGACCUUUGUCUCCUCAGGACCUGACUUCUGCUCUGACCAAGAAAAUCACUCUUAAGACCCCACUGGUUUCCUCUCCCAUGGACACAGUCACAGAGGCUGGGAUGGCCAUAGCAAUGGCGCUUACAGGCGGUAUUGGCUUCAUCCACCACAACUGUACACCUGAAUUCCAGGCCAAUGAAGUUCGGAAAGUGAAGGUCAGAAGGGCAAGGAUCAUUAGCAAGCGCUCCUGGGAAUUGCACUGAGAAAUACGAACAGGGAUUCAUCACAGACCCUGUGGUCCUCAGCCCCAAGGAUCGCGUGCGGGAUGUUUUUGAGGCCAAGGCCCGGCAUGGUUUCUGCGGUAUCCCAAUCACAGACACAGGCCGGAUGGGGAGCCGCUUGGUGGGCAUCAUCUCCUCCAGGGACAUUGAUUUUCUCAAAGAGGAGGAACAUGACUGUUUCUUGGAAGA